RNAcentral lists this ribosomal RNA (492 nucleotides) under uncultured bacterium. Its description in RNAcentral is "partial 16S ribosomal RNA". It matches the Rfam family "Bacterial small subunit ribosomal RNA", at positions 29 to 507 of the family's 1533-position model. The record is from RNAcentral.
AGUGAACGCUGGCGGUAGGCCUAACACAUGCAAGUCGAACGGCAGCACAGUAAGAGCUUGCUCUUACGGGUGGCGAGUGGCGGACGGGUGAGGAAUACAUCGGAAUCUACUUUUUCGUGGGGGAUAACGUAGGGAAACUUACGCUAAUACCGCAUACGACCUACGGGUGAAAGCAGGGGAUCUUCGGACCUUGCGCGAUUGAAUGAGCCGAUGUCGGAUUAGCUAGUUGGCGGGGUAAAGGCCCACCAAGGCGACGAUCCGUAGCUGGUCUGAGAGGAUGGUCGGCCGCCCUGGAACGUGGACACGGUCCAGACUCCUACGGGAGGGAGCAGUGGGGAAUGUUGGGCAGUAGGGGGGAACCUUGUCCAGCCGUACCGCGUGGGUUGAGGAGGCCUUCGGGUUGUAAAGCCCUUUUUUUGGUAAAGAAAAGCAGCAGGUUAAUACCCCGCUGUUCUGACGGUACCCAAAGAAUAAGCACCGGCUAACUUCGUG